UAUAAACUACUAAAAAAUAAAGGGAAAGUUUAAAAGAAGAUUGGACAAGACCCCACAACUGGCACCAGGGAGUGCAUAGGAAGCUACAAACUCUCUGAGCUGCAAACACUCGCAGACCCUUAUUCUUCUCUCCCUUACUCUUGUGUAAAUAAGGAGUCAUUUCAUGGGAAUCAGUGGAUUCACACUUAUCGGUGGGUGAGGAGUGAAAAAGUGGGAAUGGAGAAUGGGAUGUGUGGAUCUAUACAACUUCCUCAAAGAACCACAGUUACUGAGACAUUUCUGGAAUGUGUAGAUGCUGGCUUGAACCUCAUGGAACGGGUUCUAAGACCUCCAGGGGAUGGGACUGCAGCAAGGUCUGAACCACUUUCAUUGUUUCUGAGCAGAGAUUGUCUUCCUCCUCGGAUUUAUCUCAAUAAAUGGG
Molecule: long non-coding RNA, 421 nt
Organism: Mauremys mutica (yellowpond turtle)
Lineage: Eukaryota; Metazoa; Chordata; Testudines; Geoemydidae
Exons: 4
Source: RefSeq, a predicted model, not a curated record